CCGAGGAAAAGAAAUCAACCGAGAUUCCCCCAGUAGCGGCGAGCGAACGGGGAGGAGCCCAGAGACUGAAUCAGCAUGUGUGUUAGUGGAAGCGUCUGGAAAGGUGCGCGAUACAGGGUGACAGCCCCGUACACAAAAGCGCAUGUGCUGUGAGCUCGAUGAGUAGGGCGGGACACGUGGUAUCCUGUCUGAAUAUGGGGGGACCAUCCUCCAAGGCUAAAUACUCCUGACUGACCGAUAGUGAACCAGUACCGUGAGGGAAAGGCGAAAAGAACCCCGGCGAGGGGAGUGAAAAAGAACCUGAAACCGUGUACGUACAAGCAGUGGGAGCCCCACCACUAAGCCAGUGGUGAACUCCACAUCCGCAUCCUUUGCUGAGGAUACGGUUAACGGAGCGAAAGCGACGUUCAACCGCAAAACAAGCAGAGGGGGCUUAGUGGUGGGGUGACUGCGUACCUUUUGUAUAAUGGGUCAGCGACUUAUAUUCUGUAGCAAGGUUAACCGAAUAGGGGAGCCGGAGGGAAACCGAGUCUUAAUUGGGCGUUAAGUUGCAGGGUAUAGACCCGAAACCCGGUGAUCUAGCCAUGGGCAGGUUGAAGGUUGGGUAACACUAACUGGAGGACCGAACCGACUAAUGU
This is a ribosomal RNA of 638 nucleotides. It matches the Rfam family "Bacterial large subunit ribosomal RNA", at positions 211 to 789 of the family's 2925-position model.